UCCCGACACCCGGAGGCUGCUUUUCCGGAUGCAUGGGCGUGCACGGGCGGCAGACCUGGCAACCUGGGCCGCUGGCGGGCACACCGUCCUCGGCCGUGCGGGAUCCGGGGCAGGCAAGUGAGGGACCCAGGGGCGGGACCAGCUGGCUCUUCCAGCAGCCACGGGGACUCAGGCUUUGGCUCCUAGUCCCUGGGGAGAUGGGGGUUGCUCCCCCCACCGCUCCUGCGUCCGUCCGUGGGCACGGAGGCCUAGGCCGGGCAGCGGGGGGCACAUGCGCCAGCCCCUCUCCUCGGCUCUGCUACCCAGACAGCUGGGGGCCUGAAAGACAGAGGAGCCGCUGUCACCCGCCUGCACGAGGGGGACCCCGAGGCCCGGCUCCUCCCUCAUGCGUCGGCCUCCCUCCCGCCGCCCGGGGACUCACUCCUGUGACGAAGAGGCCUAGGAAGACGCCGGAAGGAAAUGGCACAACUCCCGGGAGAACGAGCCCCCUAAAGCCCGCCGAUGUGACACACGCUGCUAGGCCCUCUCCCUCUCAAGAAAACCAAGAGUGACCACGUUUCCAGGGCCCGAAGCCUUCAGUAAGGACGGUAGGAAACGCUGGAGGCUGCCAGCUGGGACCCAGGGGUCGGGAACAGCUGACCUGCGGGGUGUGGACAGGCGCCCCGGGAAGCUGGUCGGCACCGGAGGCUCGGCGGACGCGCCGGGGGAGGCCGGGGGGGCGGGUGCGUGGGGGAAGGAGGCCUGUGAACACGGGGCUCGGCCUCCCGCCUGCCCUUCCUGCUCUCAGCCCCUGCGCGCCGGCCGGGCUCCAGGGGGAGAAAAUCAGCCGACCGACUCCCAGAACCGCAGGCCGCGGGGAUCCGAGCACCGGCAUCAGGACAGAGUCAAAGUCGGAGCGGCCUCGACGCUCGGCUUGUCCGACUUCAGGUGUCUGGGACGGAGACGAUUCUCCAGGACCGCAAAGAGGGGAAAGGCCGUGCAGCGUGAGGAAGGGCGCGGCUGCGGCAAACGCGGAGGCUCCGACCCCGAACUCUACCGGCCCGACAGAAUGAGCACGUCAGACACACGUGCCCCCCGAGUGUGCACCCGCGUGCCCGUCGUCAGGGGGCUCCUGGGCUCCGGAGCGGAAGGGAAGGAGGCGGCCGCGGGUGCAGGAGGCGCCCGGUGGGGGCGGCCGGCACCGGGGUCUCCCCCAGGAGGCGGGGUGGCGCUAGACGCCUUGCUCAGGGAGGCGAGGACGGAAGGACCACGGUUACCAUGAGCCUCGGGUCCGAGUGCCCCACGCACUGAGGGCGGGGCCUCCGGGGCGGGCUCCCAGACUGCCGGGGCCACAGGGGUCCUCAAGCUGCGUGUACAACUUUGACAUAAACCGCAAACUCACAGUCAUCCGCCGCCCAGGGUGUGGGGCCGAAGGAGCAGCACGGUGGCCCGCAGGUGGCAGGAGCUCGACAUCCAACGGGGGCGCCCUCCGCAUCACUGCCCGCAGGAGCCUGUCCCGGGGGGUCUGAGACUUAGCUUUAUGAAAGCAGAGCCUGACAAGUGACACAAGAUGACACAGGACAGCACCCCGGGAGCCCUGGGAAACAAAGGAUUUUUAAGCAAGACAAAAAAUGAAAGACACGACACACUCAGGAAGGAGCCGCCAGCACGGGGGCCGGACCAGUAGCAGACUGUCCCCAGGAGCAGUCUGUGCCCCGUCGCCUGGCACAGCCUUCACUGUGACCCCGCCUCCCAGGUCGGUGACAGCCUUCCCUUCCGCGCACCCACACCCACGAACACGCGUGGCCGACGCCCAGCACGGCAUCACUGGGUGUAGGUCCUGACUAGGACUUAUUGGCCAAAACGGAAGAUCCCUGGUUGGAGAAGCAAACCAGAACUCAGCACAGCCGCGAGGCGGGAGGUGAGCAGGGCAGACCCGGGGCCCGAGCGCCCUCCCGGGUCCUUCUUCACCAGGGAAGCGGGGAGCGUAAGCACGCGUGUACCCGCCGUGUCCGUGAGAGCAGCAGCUCGCUGUGGGAGCGCCGGGGGCCAGAGACCCAGGCAAAGAGGGAGCCCCUCACACGGGUGACGGGGGCCGGCGGUGUGCUCAGCGCGCAGGAACCCAGCACGCGCAGGGCACGCGUCACCAGUUCAUGUUAUCAUUGGUCUCCAAAACACGGUUUCUAAAGGCCUCUCAACACCCACUGUCGGGCGCGCCUAACGACCGGCAGCCUCCAUCACUGCCCUCCCGCCUUACCAAUAACGCCCCGGCGGACAUCUGCACACCCGUCUCUGCCCACUCUCCUCAUUCCCUUGGACAGAUUCGCAGAAACACUCCUGACACGAUCCCACCUGCAGGAGGGGAAGUACCAGCCUCAUGGCGGCGAGUGCCAAGCGUUCAGAAGCUUUACCAAUUUGGCGAAGGAGUAAAUCUCGGUCUCUGUACUUUCCUCUUUCGUCACCAGGAAGUGAGACCGUAUUUUAUGUAUUUUUACGGCCAACCGCCCUUCUCUACUGUGAUCUGUCCGUCGCCUUUGCUGGCUCCCCCGGCCCCAGGGCUGCCUGGGCUCAGGGAGCGAUCCUCUGGGGGGCACGGCUCUGGAGAGGACCCCUGUGUACCCCAAUGCCCGCCAGGGCCCCUCUGUCGCCCUGCUGCUGAGUCGCCGUAUUGUCGGUCCCCAGUAAUGACGUCGCGUGCUCGCUGCGGAAGAAGGCAAGAACCCGCUGGUAUUCUGGUGGAUUUGCUCAGGGCACUUGCUUCCCACGCCCUAACAACCUGCAGCCAACGCGUCAAUGUGUCCUUAGCACGCACGGUUCGUGAGGUCCCUUCUUAACGCUAAACAGCGUAUGAUGAAGUAUUUUUUAAAGUCAGGCCGUUUCUGUUUCCUUAUGUUCAGUUAUCGGUGUCUUUAACACAAAACUGCUCAGGGGGAAGCAUCAAAGGCAGCAGAAAGUGUAAGGCCUGCCUAGCUCUGUCCCCGUGUCCAUUCUAUGUCCCCAGCUCGAUGUCCCCAACUCUGUGUCCUCAGCUCCACACAGUGUCCUCACCUCCGUCUCGUGUCCUCAGCUGUGUCCUCUGUCCUCUGCUCCAACAGAGCCGGCAGCUGUGAGCUGAUUGCGCCCGCUCGUUACGCAGCCUGUAUCGCUAAUGGCCUGUGACAAAGGCACGCGGCUUCCAGGCCUCACCCCCGAGAGCCAAUUAAACACACACACUCCCUUCCUGUUUGCAGCGCAUUACAAUGAAAUUAAACUGAGUUUCAAAAUCA
This is a long non-coding RNA of Felis catus (domestic cat), 3245 nucleotides long. RefSeq lists it as uncharacterized. The transcript is spliced from 2 exons. NCBI's taxonomy places the organism in Eukaryota, Metazoa, Chordata, Mammalia, Carnivora, Felidae. The record is from RefSeq and is a predicted model, not a curated record.